CAGCAGCCGCGGUAAUACGAAGGGGGCUAGCGUUGUUCGGAAUUACUGGGCGUAAAGGGCGCGCAGGCGGCCAUUCAAGUUAGAUGUGAAAGCCCUGGGCUCAACCUAGGAAUUGCAUUUGAUACUGUUUGGCUUGAGUUCGGGAGAGGUGAGUGGAAUUCCCAGCGUAGAGGUGAAAUUCGUAGAUACUGGGAAGAACACCAGUGGCGAAGGCGGCUCACUGGCUCAUACUGGACGCUGAGGUGCGAAAGCGUGGGGAGCAAACAGGAUUAGAUACCCGAGUAGUCCCUGUCUCUUAUAC
RNAcentral lists this ribosomal RNA (301 nucleotides) under uncultured bacterium. RNAcentral describes it as "partial 16S ribosomal RNA". It matches the Rfam family "Bacterial small subunit ribosomal RNA", at positions 509 to 807 of the family's 1533-position model. The record is from RNAcentral.